This 443-nucleotide ribosomal RNA is filed under the name uncultured bacterium. Its description in RNAcentral is "partial 16S ribosomal RNA". It matches the Rfam family "Bacterial small subunit ribosomal RNA", at positions 338 to 795 of the family's 1533-position model. The record is from RNAcentral.
CCUACGGGAGGCAGCAGUGGGGAAUAUUGGGCAAUGGAGGAAACUCUGACCCAGCAACGCCGCGUGAAUGAUGAAGGUCUUCGGAUUGUAAAGUUCUUUUCUAAGGGAAGAAGAAAGUGACGGUACCUUAGGAAUAAGCCUCGGCUAACUACGUGCCAGCAGCCGCGGUAAUACGUAGGAGGCAAGCGUUAUCCGGAAUGACUGGGCGUAAAGGGUGCGUAGGGGGUUUGACAAGUUGGUAGCGUAACUCCGAGGCUUAACCUCGGCACUACUACCAAAACUGUUGGACUAGAGUGCAGGAGGGGCAAAUGGAAGUCCGAGUGUAGCGGUGGAAUGCGUAGAUAGUAGGAGGAACACCAGUGGCGAAGGCGAUUUGCUGGACUGUAACUGACACUGAGGCACGAAAGCGUGGGGAGCAAACAGGAUUAGAUACCCUGGUAGUC